This is a non-coding RNA of Rhinolophus ferrumequinum (greater horseshoe bat), 818 nucleotides long. Lineage: Eukaryota; Metazoa; Chordata; Mammalia; Chiroptera; Rhinolophidae. The record is from the annotation of a RefSeq genome assembly.
CCCCUCCUCUGGCAGAGGGUGGAGAAGAAAAGGAGGCCUGGGGCAGCCCAGCCCCACUGUGGGCUCAGGGGCUGUGUGCACCAUGGCCUGGACUCCUGUCCUCCUCGUGCUCCUCUCUCACUGCGCAGGUUCCCUCUCCCAGGCUGUGCUGACUCAGCCGCCCUCCCUCUCUGCAUCUCCGGGAGCAUCAGCCAGACUCACCUGCACCCUGAGAAGUGACAUCAGUGUUGGUGGUAAAAACAUAUACUGGUACCAGCAGAAGCCAGGGAGCCCUCCCCAGUAUCUCCUGUACUACAAGUCAGACUCAGAUAAAGGGCAGGGCUCCGGGGUCCCCAGCCGCUUCUCUGGAUCCAAAGACACCUCGGCCAACGCAGGGCUUCUGCUCAUCGCUGGGCUGCAGCCUGAGGACGAGGCUGACUACUACUGUAUGAUUGGUUACAACAGUGCUUCACACAGUGACACACACGGAGGGGGAAGUGGCACAAAAACCUCAGCCUGUUCACAGUUCCCUCUCCAGCCUGUGCUGACUCAGCCGCCCUCCCUCUCUGCAUCUCUGGGAGCAUCAGCCAGACUCACCUGCACCCUGAGCAGCGGCUUCAAUGUUGGGGGCUAUUGGAUAGCCUGGCACCAGCAGAAGCCAGGGAGCCCUCCCCGGUAUCUGCUGCAGUUUAAAUCAGACUCAGAUAAAAACCAGGGCUCCGGGGUCCCCAGCCGCUUCUCUGGAUCCAAAGACACCUCGGCCAAUGCAGGGCUUCUGCUCAUCUCUGGGCUGCAGCCUGAGGACGAGGCUGACUAUUACUGUGCUGUAUAUCACAGUG